GUGCUUGCUUUGGCAGUACAUACACUAAAAUUGGAACAAUACAGAGAAGAUUAGCAUGGCUCCUGCACAAGAAUGACAUGUAUAAUCGUGAGUGUUCAAUACUGCCU
Molecule: small nuclear RNA, 107 nt
Organism: Protopterus annectens (West African lungfish)
Lineage: Eukaryota; Metazoa; Chordata; Ceratodontiformes; Protopteridae
Source: RefSeq, a predicted model, not a curated record